Molecule: long non-coding RNA, 1830 nt
Organism: Syngnathoides biaculeatus (alligator pipefish)
Lineage: Eukaryota; Metazoa; Chordata; Actinopteri; Syngnathiformes; Syngnathidae
Exons: 3
Source: RefSeq, a predicted model, not a curated record
UGUUGCGUGCAAAAAGAAACCAAAGCGAGUAGAACAGCAAGUCGAUGCUACGUGAUCUCACUACUCCCUCCACUUCGGAGUUACGACGGGAGAAGGGAGUUAACCCCGAAUAGGACAACCUCGGCCCCGGAGAAGACGUCUCCCGACCACGGCCAGGCGACCGGAGCAGGAAAACGAUUGGCAUUCAUGGUACCGGGGCUGCAUUCAUCAUCAGCAGUUCAACAUCAAAACAGAGACAGGGGGACUGUACAUUUGGCCUGGUGAGUAAUAUUGAGCACACACCGUAAAACAGAGUAUAGGAGUAAUACAUUGUCUUUAUGCCGGAGACCUAGUGACACCGUUACGCCAGCCCGCGAGACUCCCGAGCGGUGGACACGACACUUUUUCACGUGAAUGGAGAAUGUGUCACAAUCAGGGCAGGAGGGGGGCCUGCGUGCUAUUCUAGGGGAAGGCAGUCUCAUUUGCCAGGCGUCAAGAUAACGUCAGAUCGUGGUCGUUUCCCGUGGGAGACCAAACCCGGUUCUCCUUUGGGUGGCCCACGCCGGAUUGAAAGUCGCCCGCGGUUGAAGGGGGAACGGGAUAUCAUUUUGGAAAAAAAAAAACGACAGAAUGCCUCAUGCCGUUUCACAAAUCAAAGUGUCAAAUUCAAAGAAAUCUCGUUUUGUGAAGGCUGCGUGUCUUCACUCGUAAGAAAGACACGUUUACUGUAAAAUCUCAAUCCCAGUCAAAUCCUUACGGACAAAAUAAUAAAUAAAAACAGGGCGCGGGGGCAUGUGUCAGAAAAAAAACCUUUUCUAGCAGGAAAACAUGCUAACAAGUGCAUAGGAAAUUUAUUCAGGCCUUGUGAUCGUCACAGAGAAGAAGAACCGGAGAGGAAACAUUGAGAGGCGAGGAAUGGUUUCUCUUGCGUAAGCCUUGCUGGAAAAGACCAUUAGGACAAAUGGUGGUGGAGCUCCCCGAGCAUAAUGUAUUGGUUUACCGUUGCAGCCCCAGCCCGAAUGUGCUUCUCCUUCCACACCACAAGGCCCAUUAAUCUGAUGUGCUCUGGGCUAGCAUCCGCAGAGAAAAGAGAAUGCCGGAAAGCUUUCACGGAUCCACGACAUUUUGUGCUGCAGACUACUUUUCUAUUUUGUUACAUCCACAAAAGAUACAACGUUUCAGACUGUAGUCAAAAAGGUAAGCUUUGGACAACCAGCUAGACCAAAAACCACACUGGAAAAACAAACAAACAAACAAACAUUCCAAACCAAGAGACUCGUUUUCAGGGUGUAUUACUCCAGCAGCAAUGUCAUUGCAAAAGUGCAGCCUGCCGAACCCAUGCAAAGAGGCCUUGGAGCAAAGCCGCGCGUAUUUGUCGAGAUGACUUCGAACCGGACACUUUGGAUCAGCGCGAUAUUUGGCUUGGAAUUUUGGAUGCAUGUGAAGCAAGAUUCCAAAAUGGGGCCGACGGCGGUUUUUGCUCUGAUCUCUUGACGGGCAGCGCGGGCCGACGCCGACGCCGAGGAUACAUUCAUGAAGAACGGUGCGGAUACAGACGUUCGGUUCCGUUUACAACAUUUUUUCCCAGAUGGGGGCGGGCUGGCAAAUAUCGAUCUGAACGGCUCAUCGUGACCCAGUCGACAUCAGAACUAGCGUCCCUCGGCUAUCCUCCCAGACAACCUCGCACCGGAGCAGCGUUAAUGGAAUCUAAGUCUCGAUUUCUGUGAAGAUUUGAAAAAAAAAAAAUAACGGAGGAACUUGAAUUAUUACACUUCACAGUGGCCAAGGAUUUAAUACAUUUUUAAUCACGCUAUAAUCUUGGCAGUGUUGACUACCACUUUUUUUUUUUUU